CCUACGGGUGGCAGCAGUGAGGAAUAUUGGUCAAUGGACGAGAGCCUGAACCAGCCAAGUCGCGUGAAGGAUUACUGCCCUAUGGGUUGUAAACUUCUUUUAUCUGGGAAUAAAAUGUUCCACGUGUGGGAUUUUGUAUGUACCAUAUGAAUAAGGAUCGGCUAACUCCGUGCCAGCAGCCGCGGUAAUACGGAGGAUCCGAGCGUUAUCCGGAUUUAUUGGGUUUAAAGGGAGCGUAGGUGGGUUGUUAAGUCAGUUGUGAAAGUUUGCGGCUCAACCAUCAAAUUGCAGUUGAAACUGGCAGUCUUGAGUACAGUAGAGGUGGGCGGAAUUCGUGGUGUAGCGGUGAAAUGCUUAGAUAUCACGAAGAACUCCGAUUGCGAAGGCAGCUCACUGGACUGCAACUGACACUGAGGCUCGAAAGUGUGGGUAUCAAACAGGAUUAGAUACCCGAGUAGUC
RNAcentral lists this ribosomal RNA (460 nucleotides) under uncultured bacterium. RNAcentral's name for it is "partial 16S ribosomal RNA". It matches the Rfam family "Bacterial small subunit ribosomal RNA", at positions 338 to 795 of the family's 1533-position model. The record is from RNAcentral.